Molecule: ribosomal RNA, 688 nt
Filed under: Aosa uleana
Lineage: Eukaryota; Viridiplantae; Streptophyta; Magnoliopsida; Cornales; Loasaceae
Description: eukaryotic LSU rRNA
Rfam family: 5.8S ribosomal RNA (bases 265-420)
Source: RNAcentral
UCGUAACAAGGUUUCCGUAGGUGAACCUGCGGAAGGAUCAUUGUCGAGACCUGCAGCAGCAGAGCUACCGCGAACACGUGACGCACGGCGGUGGCUCCUUCGGGAGCCGCCUUUGCCGUCCCCCGCCGGCCCCGGCCGCGGGGGUGCGGCCGAAACAACAAACCCCGGCGCGAAUUGCGCCAAGGAAAACGAACGAAGAGAGCCCCGCGUGGCGUCCCGUUCGCGUGCGCGCCCCGCGUGGUGACUUCAAUAAUAAAACACGACGACUCUCGGCAACGGAUAUCUCGGCUCUCGCAUCGAUGAAGAACGUAGCGAAAUGCGAUACUUGGUGUGAAUUGCAGAAUCCCGUGAACCAUCGAGUCUUUGAACGCAAGUUGCGCCCGAAGCCAUUAGGCCGAGGGCACGUCUGCCUGGGCGUCACGCAACUCGUCGCCCACCGGCCCCGCAAUGGGGCUGCCGGUGGCGGAGGAUGGCCUCCCGCGAGCUCGUCCCGCGGCCGGCCCAAAGGCGGAGUCAGCCCGUGGGCGGGUUGUCACGACAGGUGGUGGCCGUAAGCUCAUCGCGUCCUGCCGUGCUUGGACCCGUUCAUGGCCGCGUCUCCCACCGACCCUAGAGGCCCCUUGCCUUUUGCUCGGUGCCUCGACCGCGACCCCAGGUCAGGCGGGACUACCCGCUGAGUUUAAGCAUA